This 421-nucleotide ribosomal RNA is filed under the name Microvirga ossetica. RNAcentral describes it as "partial 16S ribosomal RNA". It matches the Rfam family "Bacterial small subunit ribosomal RNA", at positions 356 to 774 of the family's 1533-position model. The record is from RNAcentral. RNAcentral also lists the same sequence under 1 other name. Lineage: Bacteria; Pseudomonadati; Pseudomonadota; Alphaproteobacteria; Hyphomicrobiales; Methylobacteriaceae.
GAGGGAUAUUGGUCAAUGGGUGCAAGCCUGAACCAGCCAUCCCGCGUGAAGGACGACUGCCCUAUGGGUUGUAAACUUCUUUUGUAUAGGGAUAAACCUACCCUCGUGAGGGUAGCUGAAGGUACUAUACGAAUAAGCACCGGCUAACUCCGUGCCAGCAGCCGCGGUAAUACGGAGGGUGCAAGCGUUAUCCGGAUUUAUUGGGUUUAAAGGGUCCGUAGGCGGACUUAUAAGUCAGUGGUGAAAGCCUGUCGCUUAACGAUAGAACUGCCAUUGAUACUGUAAGUCUUGAGUAUAUUUGAGGUAGCUGGAAUAAGUAGUGUAGCGGUGAAAUGCAUAGAUAUUACUUAGAACACCAAUUGCGAAGGCAGGUUACCAAGAUAUAACUGACGCUGAGGGACGAAAGCGUGGGGAGCGAACA